CAGAGUCCACACGAGUCCCUCAACCGAGCGGUAACCGGGAUCCCAGGACUCAGCAAAAGCGACCUUGGGAGUGAUAGCACACCAGGAUGCUCCGGUUCACUCUGCGAACAGACGCCCUCGGGCCACAAAGAGCCUGCAGCACAGGGUCCAUCUAUCAACAUCAGAGGAGCAGCUGUCUGCUGAGCACUCCUAAGCACUCUGACAGCACACUCGUGCAUUUUCAUACUACCCUAACAUGGAAGGGGUGAUUAUAGCUGAUCGAUUUGAACUUACUCCUUCCCCAUCUUUCUUCUUGGUACUUCGGACACUCCUUAACACCUCGUAAGAGGCUGACAGCUGGGGAUAUACCAGGCCACAUUAAUUGGUUGUCAUUUCUCAAUCUCAAACCUUGUUUUGAGAUUUGGAAAUCAAGGCUUGUAGUAGAUUAUUGAGCAAAGAAAGCACUUUUGAAAUUGACUGUCUCAUGAGAGGGUUUUGGGAAAUUCUACAUGAAGGGUGAUGAUUGGUAAGCAGUCUGUCAUGCUGGCACAGAAUAAGACAGCAGAGGCUGUCACAGUUCCUUUGCUGUCCAUGGCCUGGACCAUUGGACCUUUGUAGGCCAGUGUUCCCACUGAGAAAGGGACUUAGCAGAAUCUCAGAGACUGAGACUGCUCUACAUCAAGUUGAGUGACUUCUUUUCCAUAUUUCUAUGGUGGAUAGG
Mastomys coucha (southern multimammate mouse) is the source of this 700-nucleotide long non-coding RNA. RefSeq lists it as uncharacterized. The record is from RefSeq and is a predicted model, not a curated record. Lineage: Eukaryota; Metazoa; Chordata; Mammalia; Rodentia; Muridae. The transcript is spliced from 3 exons.